Non-coding RNA from Phascolarctos cinereus (koala), 258 nucleotides. Lineage: Eukaryota; Metazoa; Chordata; Mammalia; Diprotodontia; Phascolarctidae. The record is from RefSeq and is a predicted model, not a curated record.
UUAAACCUAUAUUUUUAGUUGUCUAAAUCUAUAUUCUGAGGUCAGGUUCUAAUGUUCUACAUUCUUGGUGCCCUUUUACCUCUCACAUUUUCUGUUCCAUAUUCUAGCAGCCCUCCAGCUCUCACACUUUAUGAUUCUACUUCCUCUGGACUAUGAACUGAUUCAGUGGAAGUAUUAGGACAACCAAGUUCAACCCUUCUCCCUUAUGAUCAAUUAGAAGGAACAGAGAGACAGCUUAUGACCACUUGGAUCUAUGUA